AGGUGGCUGGCGAGUGGCGGACGGGUGAGUAACGCGUAGGAAUCUGCCCUCCAGAGGGGGAUAACCCGGGGAAACUCGGGCUAAUACCGCAUACGUUCUGAGGAGGAAAGGCGGGGGACCUGAGGGCCUCGCGCUGGGGGAUGAGCCUGCGUCCGAUUAGCUAGUUGGUAGGGUAAGGGCCUACCAAGGCGACGAUCGGUAGCUGGUCUGAGAGGACGAUCAGCCACACUGGGACUGAGACACGGCCCAGACUCCUACGGGAGGCAGCAGUGGGGAAUAUUGGACAAUGGGGGCAACCCUGAUCCAGCAAUGCCGCGUGGGUGAAGAAGGCUUUCGGGUUGUAAAGCCCUUUCGGUGGGGAAGAAAGGCCGCGCGUGAAGAGCGGGCGGAGUUGACGUUACCCACAGAAGAAGCACCGGCUAACUCCGUGCCAGCAGCCGCGGUAAUACGGAGGGUGCGAGCGUUAAUCGGAAUUACUGGGCGUAAAGGGCGCGUAGGCGGUUGGGUAAGUCGGGUGUGAAAGCCCUGGGCUUAACCUAGGAAUGGCAUUCGAGACUGCCGGACUGGAGUAUGGUAGAGGGAGGCGGAACUUCCGGUGUAGCGGUGAAAUGCGUAGAUAUCUGAAGGAACACCAGUGG
This 638-nucleotide ribosomal RNA is filed under the name uncultured bacterium. Its description in RNAcentral is "bacterial SSU rRNA". It matches the Rfam family "Bacterial small subunit ribosomal RNA", at positions 82 to 715 of the family's 1533-position model. The record is from RNAcentral.